RNAcentral lists this transfer RNA (74 nucleotides) under Prauserella cavernicola. It matches the Rfam family "tRNA". Rfam says of the family: Transfer RNA (tRNA) molecules are approximately 80 nucleotides in length. Their secondary structure includes four short double-helical elements and three loops (D, anti-codon, and T loops). Further hydrogen bonds mediate the characteristic L-shaped molecular structure. tRNAs have two regions of fundamental functional importance: the anti-codon, which is responsible for specific mRNA codon recognition, and the 3' end, to which the tRNAs corresponding amino acid is attached (by aminoacyl-tRNA synthetases). tRNAs cope with the degeneracy of the genetic code in two manners: having more than one tRNA (with a specific anti-codon) for a particular amino acid; and 'wobble' base-pairing, i.e. permitting non-standard base-pairing at the 3rd anti-codon position. The record is from Rfam by way of RNAcentral. Lineage: Bacteria; Bacillati; Actinomycetota; Actinomycetes; Pseudonocardiales; Pseudonocardiaceae.
GCCCCUGUAGCCCAACUGGCAGAGGCACCGCGCUCAGAACGCGGCCAGUCCAGGUUCGACUCCUGGCAGGGGCA